CUACCACCAUGUAACAUUCCUGUAGUUCAAACAGUUGAGCAUGUAAUUUCCUACUUUUGUUGAAAAUGAAUGACUUUGGUCGCUUUGAUGCUGUCAGUUCUAACCAGAUGAAUUUUAACCAAAAUAUCAGUGUUUGAUUGAAUGCACAGCUUUUAACAUAAAAUGUUUUAAAACUUGAAAUAUUUUUCUGUCCUGACAAUGGCCAAAUGUGUAUAUAUAAAUUGCCUUAAAUGAUGGUAUACAUUCCUGUGCAUCCUCUACAUCUAAUGUUCUGUCUGCAGUGACUUGAACCACAGUACACAGUAUGUGCAGGGACUGGCCUUGUGCACCCUGGGCUGCAUGGGCUCAUCCGAAAUGUGCCGUGACUUAGCUGGAGAAGUGGAGAAACUCCUCAAAACGUCAAACUCCUAUCUGAGGAAAAAGGUAUUUCACACUCCUUCACAGCUGAACGUGGACUUCAUGUCCAGUUGCAUGUCGAGCUCUGAAUGUGUGAACGGUUUUGACAUGAGCUCUUCGCCCUCAGGCAGCUCUGUGUGCAGUUCACGUCAUCCGCAAAGUCCCGGAGCUGAUGGAGAUGUUCCUGCCAGCAACAAAAAACCUGCUCGGCGAGAAAAAUCAUGGAGUUCUCCACACGUCUGUUGUUCUGCUCACUGAAAUGUGUGAGCGAAGUCCUGACAUGCUCUCUCACUUCAGGAAGGUGCGUAGCAAGCGUUCAUGUCUUGACCUUCUGCAGUCACCUCUAAAACUGUUUAUGCACCACAUCAGCAACUCUGAGACAAAAGCGCACUCUAUCUGUUGCUGAUAGCAUUGACAUGACUACUGAAAUGAGACUGUAGUCCUUACUGAAAUCUGGAUGCUUGUCCUGGAUUUAGCUGCAGGUGUGGUUAUCUCACUGGGAGAUGAAUACGGGUUCUUCCUCUCGGUGUAUCUGCUUCUACUUUUCCCACCCCCAGCCUGAUCUACUGUGCCAGCACGCCCACCUCUCAUGCUCAUAACCGUAACAUUAUGUUAAGCUCUUCUCUGAAAGUGACUUUUUUUCCAAUUCCCCCCUAACAUCUACUUCAUAUUUUUUCUGUCAUUUGUCUUUGUUACAAUUCCUGCAUUGUGUUAGAAUGAGAAGGUAAGAGGACAUUCUGGUUUCAUAGCUGGUGCAUGCUUAAAGAAAAUAAACAAAAAAAAGCCUCAUC
Molecule: long non-coding RNA, 1187 nt
Filed under: Sinocyclocheilus grahami
Lineage: Eukaryota; Metazoa; Chordata; Actinopteri; Cypriniformes; Cyprinidae
Description: lncRNA (ENSSGRG00000005702.1)
Source: RNAcentral